Molecule: ribosomal RNA, 750 nt
Filed under: uncultured Actinomycetes bacterium
Lineage: Bacteria; Bacillati; Actinomycetota; Actinomycetes
Description: bacterial SSU rRNA
Rfam family: Bacterial small subunit ribosomal RNA
Source: RNAcentral
UGUGGGGUGCUCGAGUGGCGAACGGGUGAGUAACACGUGAGUAACCUGCCCUUGACUUUGGGAUAACUUCAGGAAACUGGGGCUAAUACCGGAUAGGAGCUCCUGCUGCAUGGUGGGGGUUGGAAAGUUUCGGCGGUUGGGGAUGGACUCGCGGCUUAUCAGCUUGUUGGUGGGGUAGUGGCUUACCAAGGCUUUGACGGGUAGCCGGCCUGAGAGGGUGACCGGCCACAUUGGGACUGAGAUACGGCCCAGACUCCUACGGGAGGCAGCAGUGGGGAAUAUUGCACAAUGGGCGGAAGCCUGAUGCAGCAACGCCGCGUGCGGGAUGACGGCCUUCGGGUUGUAAACCGCUUUCGCCUGUGACGAAGCGUGAGUGACGGUAAUGGGUAAAGAAGCACCGGCUAACUACGUGCCAGCAGCCGCGGUGAUACGUAGGGUGCGAGCGUUGUCCGGAUUUAUUGGGCGUAAAGGGCUCGUAGGUGGUUGAUCGCGUCGGAAGUGUAAUCUUGGGGCUUAACCCUGAGCGUGCUUUCGAUACGGGUUGACUUGAGGAAGGUAGGGGAGAAUGGAAUUCCUGGUGGAGCGGUGGAAUGCGCAGAUAUCAGGAGGAACACCAGUGGCGAAGGCGGUUCUCUGGGCCUUUCCUGACGCUGAGGAGCGAAAGCGUGGGGAGCGAACAGGCUUAGAUACCCUGGUAGUCCACGCUGUAAACGGUGGGUACUAGGUGUGGGGUCCACUCCACGGGUUCCG